Molecule: long non-coding RNA, 2359 nt
Filed under: Takifugu rubripes (torafugu)
Lineage: Eukaryota; Metazoa; Chordata; Actinopteri; Tetraodontiformes; Tetraodontidae
Description: lncRNA (ENSTRUG00000026480.1)
Source: RNAcentral
CCAAUUAACUGAUUUCUUUCAAUUUAAUUCCCUUAAUUUCUUGAUUUGAAAAGAUAACAUGAAGUGUUUCUACUGCACAUUCAUGUGCACAUUUUAAAACUAUUAGAGUUUCCUCCUAAGUUAAAAGGUUUUCUCAGUGUUUUCAGCUUUUUUCCAGUUGUUUGAACACAACUCAUUAAAAAGAGGGCAGCAUUCCAUAUUUCAGUGACUCCUUGGGGAUAUAUACAGAUAGCAUUUCUUUGGUAUUGUUAUAAGCCAAAGGCCUGUUGAAGGACCUGUAAUGAAGAAUAUUCAUGCUCACAGAGGCUGUUGAUGUCACUGACUGGCACGCAAAGUGGUGUAAAGAAACUGUAUAAAAGGCGGCUCCCUGCUGAAAGAGGCACCAGUCAAGAGAAGUGGUACCAUGUCUUUCUCACUUGUAACCCUCCUCACCUUCCUGGUUGCCUGUUGGUGUUCAGGAUGUCAAGGACAAAUGAUGAGCAUGGCUCCUAUGGGUAGCAACCUGAUGCUGUCCUGCCCUCGAGGACAGGAGAUCAACAUCGUGUCAAUGGUUUACAGCAACAAGGGGUUUGAGAAUAAUGCUCAGGACUUCUGCAGCAGCAUUGCACCUCCAAGCUGUUUACAUCCCAUGUUAAUGCCGUUGUCAAAGUCUAUCUGUGAUGACCUGCAGGAGUGCAGGUUAGCUAAAUCACAAAAAAGAAUGUUGAUCUGCGAUCUCGACACCUUCACCGCCGUUUCAGCCUUCUACACUUGUGAGAACAAGUUUCCAGAUAAACGUACUGUCAUUGCCUGCAAGGAUCAGAGUGCCGACUUAAAGUGUGAAAAGGGUGUUAUUCGCAUCAUCAAGUCCAAUUACGGACGCCUCGACCAGAACACCUGCACAGACAAGCCUUCUGAUUACACCUUUUGUACAGCUGGAGGCUUUGGAGAAGAUGUGAAAAGCAUGUGCAACGGUAGAAAAGAGUGUUCAAUUCCAGGCAAUCCUAAAGGGAGGAUAGUGUUUUCAUACUGUGAUCAAUCCCCCAAGUAUGUGUACGUGUCCUACGUCUGUGAAGCAUAGGAUAAGUACACAAUGAACACCAACAGUUGGUGUACAGGUGACCUGAAGAUGGAGGAUUUCUCCUGCAUCUGAGGAACCUUGUUCCAAAUCUAAAAAGUAAAAAACCCAAUUAAUAAAAGAGAGGAACUAUCAUCUGGGCCUGUGUCUUCUGUCAACAUUUCAUGACCAAUUGAGAAUAUAUAUACACUCCAAACAGAACAGAUCUCUCUACAAAAAUACAUUUUUAUUUAAGACAUCGAUUUACACCUACAAAGAACUAGAAAAGAAAUUCCUGCUUAUUUCCAAUCUGGUGACACUGUGACAGAGGUCAAUCCACCCAAAGGACAGAAUACCCAGAAACACAACAACGUUGUGCUGCUGACCCGUGUCGCAAAGACCUGUCCAACACAAGAGAGGCAACUCUUUGGGACAGGACUUUGCUGUUCACCUGCACCUUAAAGUCAAAAGUCAGUCGUUCUGGGGCAGCAACCUAAAAGUUUAUUCUCUUGAAGACAGAUGAAGAAGCCAUAUUUGUUAGAACAGAACAACCAUCCACAAAGAGAGAGAUGUUUCUUCUAAAAUCAAAAAAAUUCAACGUCAGAAUUUUGUGAUUAUGAGGCUCGUAUUAUCGUCGCAAGCUCCACAUAAGUCCUGGUCCUCAGAUGAGGGAGGUCAGCGACGGUUGCAGAAAUCCAGCCACACAAAACAUACAUCUGUUCAAAUGAACCCCUAUUAAUCCUCACAUGUUCAGGAAGUACAUAUAAAACAGUUUACUGAUAUCAGCUAAUGUUUGAUGUUUUAGUUUAAACCAUUAACUAAGAGCUCGAAGGCUAGCUCAUACCAGGAAGAUGAGAACUCUGGCAAACAGAAAAAGGCAGGAACAAAUUGACCAGAAGAAUGAGCAGAUUAGUACAGAAACACAACAGGAACAGGCAGGGUCAAAACCUGCAAAUCAGUCCAAAGAAUAACGCUGGAGAAUCGGGCAUAAACACAUAAACUGGCAAGGCAAGAGUGCCAAGUAAGGAGUUUAAAUUACUGAGGUCCAAACAGCUGUCCCAGAUUGGGUUGAGGAGCAAAGGAAGACACAGCUGUGCAGAAUUGUGCUGAUUAGGAUGGAGCAAACUUACACGCUGAAGGUGUUCUGGCACCUCCCCGCCACCACAACACGUUCCAUGUUUUUGUCCACACUAGGGCUCAAACCGGGAAUCCUCCGCUUCUCAGCCCAGUCCCCCAACACUGUCUUUUCAAACUAUUCAUUGGAAAUAAAACAAACAAAGUAUUUGUUCUUGAGGGUAUGCAGUAGCAAAACAAUUGAACAUG